GAAAGAGGAGGGAUGCGCGGAAGAGGCAAGUGGCUGCAAUGAAUUUGCAUUGAAAGUGGCUCUUAAACGAUUUCUCCCACCCAACUGAUCCACCCUCGGCUCUGUCUUCGAUACUACGUUAACCUCUAAGCAGAUUGCAAGGUUUAUUGGGGAUUAUUUUCGAGAAUUCGAUGUUUAUCAGGAUUGAUCGCAUACCUGGCAUGACGAGGCAUGCGUCGCCACAAUAAUUACCGGGGGAUGCGUGUCUUUACGCAUAGGGCUCACGUGGAGGGGUUGUGUGGAGGGUGGCACACGCAACUUACGGUUCCAACUAUGAUUCACCUGAGCCAUCGUGUUACUAUAGUUACAUAUUUGGUAGUUACUGAUGAGAAGGAUAAAAUUUUCGUUCUGCCAUUUUUUGCACUGGAAAAGUAUAGAAAUUGGUGAGAAUCCAAAGAAGAGAUCAGAAAGAAUAAGCAUAUUCUUAAUAUUAUUGGACAUUGGAUGAAAAUGUUUAUGAACUUGAAAUAUUGACAAUGUAUAUGUGUUUAAUGAUUGUCCAUAAUUUUUUUUAUGAGAAUUUAACAAAGAGCUAAUGUUUUUUUUAGCAUUACGUCAUAUGAUUAAUGUUCUGUGAAUUUAGAUUUUUGUAAACACAACUAUUAAAAAUAGAAAUAGAAUUAAAAAAAGAUAUAUUUUAUUCUUCAAA
Long non-coding RNA from Apis cerana (Asiatic honeybee), 688 nucleotides. RefSeq lists it as uncharacterized. NCBI's taxonomy places the organism in Eukaryota, Metazoa, Arthropoda, Insecta, Hymenoptera, Apidae. The record is from RefSeq and is a predicted model, not a curated record.